AACGAACGCUGGCGGCAUGCCUAACACAUGCAAGUCGAACGAGACCACAGGGACUAGUGGCGCACGGGUGUGGCACGUGUGGGACCCUGCACUUAGGCAUGGAAUAAUACUUUGUCGGGGGUGCUAAUACAGGAAAAUGUACUCUAAUAAAAGAUACAUCGUCCUUGGAUGCGCAGGGGUUGGUCUAGCUUGUUGGUAGGGUAAAAGCCUAUCAAGGCGACGUUCGAUAGCUGGUCUGAGAGGAUGGGCAGCGACACUGAGACUGAGACACGGCCCAGACUCCUACAGGAUGCAGCAGUGGGUAAUAUUGGACUAUGGGCUAGAGGCUGAACGAGUUAGGCCUCUAGAGUGAUUAAGUCCGUAGAGUUGUAAAGCACUUUAACCCGCGAUUAUUCUGACAGUACCGAGAGAAUAAGCUCCGGCUAACUCCGUG
Molecule: ribosomal RNA, 433 nt
Filed under: uncultured bacterium
Lineage: Bacteria
Description: partial 16S ribosomal RNA
Rfam family: Bacterial small subunit ribosomal RNA
Source: RNAcentral